RNAcentral lists this transfer RNA (86 nucleotides) under Rhodobacterales bacterium. RNAcentral describes it as "tRNA-Leu". It matches the Rfam family "tRNA". From Rfam's summary of the family: Transfer RNA (tRNA) molecules are approximately 80 nucleotides in length. Their secondary structure includes four short double-helical elements and three loops (D, anti-codon, and T loops). Further hydrogen bonds mediate the characteristic L-shaped molecular structure. tRNAs have two regions of fundamental functional importance: the anti-codon, which is responsible for specific mRNA codon recognition, and the 3' end, to which the tRNAs corresponding amino acid is attached (by aminoacyl-tRNA synthetases). tRNAs cope with the degeneracy of the genetic code in two manners: having more than one tRNA (with a specific anti-codon) for a particular amino acid; and 'wobble' base-pairing, i.e. permitting non-standard base-pairing at the 3rd anti-codon position. Lineage: Bacteria; Pseudomonadati; Pseudomonadota; Alphaproteobacteria; Rhodobacterales. The record is from RNAcentral.
GCCCGCGUGGUGGAAUGGUAGACACAGUGGACUUAAAAUCCAUAGGCCGGAAGGCCGUGCCGGUUCAAGUCCGGCCGCGGGUACCA